GAGGAAUGUUUUAUGUCGAAAGAACUAACCCCUGAGCUGUUUCGUAAGUGCUUAUGAGCUAUAAUGUGCUGUCCAAGUAAUUGCUUAUAUGCUGUUUUUGGGAGCUUUAGCUGACCUUUAAUCUUUUACCUGUGCAGUAUGAAGCAGCCUGUUGAGCUGAUAUACGGUGCAAAUCCAGUUAUACAUUGAAACAAGCAGCGUAGAUUUGGUUCCGGAAUUAUUUCGCUCUGUUAAGUGUAAUUUAUAACGACGUCUUUGAUCGUAUGAUAAGAGUUGACAGGUUCAGUCGAAGAACGAGGAUGGAAGGAUGUCAGACACAAAUUUUGCAAGCUAAAGUAUGGAGAUAGUUGCAAACCACCUUGUAAACAUGGGUGAGAAGACAUGAUUGUAUUGAAAAGCUGUGUACCGAAAAGAGAAGUGCAAGUUCAUGAGAUUUUUUUUAGUUGUGUAUUCUAGUUGAAAAUUUCACUUAUGUUUCGAGCAUUAGUUCGAAUAUAUAGAAAAAGAAGAGUUUUAAAUUCUUCGACAGCCUCUUUCAUGAAAGUGCUUUAUGCCAAUUCAUUUUUCAUUUUUAUUUUGAAUUUUACCCUUAACCCCUCCGCGGCCUCACUUCAACUCAUGUCAUUGCUUUCACCCUAUUGAAGGUGUCACUUUGCAUUUCGCCCGUUAUUAAUUCAAUGUAUCUUGAUAAGAGUUUAUGGUGCUUUUCUUCAAAAUAAUAAUAAGGGA
This 729-nucleotide long non-coding RNA is filed under the name Olea europaea (common olive). Its description in RNAcentral is "long non-coding RNA (OEUR_LNC012264)". The record is from RNAcentral. Lineage: Eukaryota; Viridiplantae; Streptophyta; Magnoliopsida; Lamiales; Oleaceae.